CUUCUGAGACUGACAGUGACAAC
RNAcentral lists this non-coding RNA (23 nucleotides) under Cricetulus griseus (Chinese hamster). Lineage: Eukaryota; Metazoa; Chordata; Mammalia; Rodentia; Cricetidae. The record is from RNAcentral.